Molecule: long non-coding RNA, 530 nt
Organism: Setaria italica (foxtail millet)
Lineage: Eukaryota; Viridiplantae; Streptophyta; Magnoliopsida; Poales; Poaceae
Exons: 2
Source: RefSeq, a predicted model, not a curated record
GCCUAAGCAGUCCACUACCUUCAAGAAGAAGAAGAACAAGGAGAACGAGGGAUGCUUCGUGUGCGGUUCUACUGACCAUUGGGCAAAGAAGUGCCCAAACCGCAAAGGAAGAAAACCUCCACAGCAGAAGUCUGUAAGCAUGGUGACCAGCGCUGGAGAUGGAAAUAGUGGGUCGCUCGGGAUUCCUCCGUCCUAAUGGGGAAUGGGUCACAUGCUUCUGUUCAUGGUGUUGGUACGGUAGAUCUGAAGUUUACUUCGGGAAAGAUCGUGCAACUGAAGAACGUGCAGCAUGUCCCUUCUAUCAGGAAGAAUCUAGUUAGUGGCUCCCUUUUGUGUAGGGAUGGCUUUAAGCUAGUGCUUGAGUCUAAUAAAAUUGUCGUGUCUAAGAGUGGAUAAUUUAUUGGUAAAGGCUAUGAGUGCGGAGGCUUGUUCUGCUUUUCCCUUACAGAUUAUUGCAAUAAGUCAGUGAACUAUAUUUGUGAUGGUAUUAAUGAGAGUGAUGCUAGUGUUUGGCAUUCACGUUUAUGUCA